Molecule: long non-coding RNA, 1579 nt
Organism: Ictidomys tridecemlineatus (thirteen-lined ground squirrel)
Lineage: Eukaryota; Metazoa; Chordata; Mammalia; Rodentia; Sciuridae
Source: RefSeq, a predicted model, not a curated record
GUCCUGAGUAAGCCUUGCUGCCCCACCGGGUGGUUCGAGACGAGAGCUAGAAGGGGGGCUGUCUCAGACCUGGUCAUAGAAAAAGGAAUAAUAGUUAAAUGAAGCUGAGGCUCUUGUUGGAGUGUCAAGGUUCAGCAAAUGCCCUGAAGUGGUCAUGCCUGGGUCAUUCACUGACAGGUGAUGCAUAGGAGACCAGAAACUAUAUAAGUGGGAACAAAGGAGCUUCUGCGGCAUGUGGUGCACACACAGCAGCCAAGAAAAAAAUUAUUAAACUCCUGCUGGACAAGAGGACUUUCGCAAAAGACUCAACCAAUAAAUGAACCCUCUUCUUAAAACUCUUGUUUUGAAAUAAACAAGUCCCAGGACAAAAACUUAAUAUGAUCAGAGACUCUGAAGGAUACAAGCAGAAGGCACAUAACUUGGAAGGAAUAGGUAAAGGAAUUUUCAACAAAAGUAAACUUGGGGUGUCACACACAGAUAGGACAAACUCAGUGAAUAUGAUGGCAAGAAAAGCAGAGGCCAAGUCAAAAGGGACAUUUCAUUUUGUCCUUAAUGAAUUUUUCUCUAGAUUUCUAUUCGUAAGCUUAACAUAUGGUUCCCUUCUCAUGCUGUUAUAUCUGAAGUAGGAGAUCUGCUAUAGAAAUAACUACUGCAUUAUGAAUGCCAAUAGGCAAACGUCAGAACACCUCUGUGCAACUGGGCAAGAAAUCUGUUUGUUUUUCUAUAAUUGCACCUAAUUUCUGUUUUUGCCCCCAUUCCUUCAAUGUAGCCAAAAUUAAUCUCUGUCAGUUUGGGGAUUUCCUCUCACCCUUCCCAGGAUUGUACCUAAUUUCUAGAGUAUGUUCCCAGUGGCAAGAGGUGGGGACUGAGGUGUGGGGUUUGAGUCUGAUCUCUGCUAGUCUGUUGUCCAUGCUGUUACUCAAUGUGAAGGUCAUCCAUGGGGCCCACACCCUCAAUAUCUGUCUUCUGCAUGGUAAUUUAUCUUCUGGGAUAUUCUUGUUCCAUCCCUUUGAUGUGGGAGCCACUGUUUGUAUCUCAGUCCUUCCCACACACUUGAAUUCUCGAGGGAGAAGGAAGGAGUGGACCCUCCCGAGGAGUCAUGUUAGUAUUUGUGUUCUCCUGACUUCUUUCUAACUUGCCUCUUUUUGCCCCCCAACCACCACUGAAAUCCUUGUGUAAUGGUGAAUGGGCAUUUUUCCUCUACAUUAUCAAGUAGAUUUAAAAAUCUUAUUUAUGUCUUACAGCUUUCCCAAUAUCUUUGGAGCCUAGAUUUUGCAGACCCAAAAGUCAAAAGAAGUUCAUUUUUUUCUCUAUUUUCUGUUAAGCUCCCUUGCUUGGGGGUAAUGGAACUCAGAAUAGCCUCCCUGCUGUUUUUGAAAGAUGAUAAGAAUGGAGAAGUAAGAGGAAAAUAUUGCAGGAAAACAUUGACUAAUACUUUGAAAGUUUAUCCUACCUAAUAAUUUUCUAUUAAUCAGUUCCCUAGUGAAGGUGGCUGGGAUAGCAUUUGGAAUAAAGACGGAAUCUUUCUAUGUAUCCUAACUGUAACAUACAAGCUCUAAUAAAAUACACAGGAGAUUUU